This 496-nucleotide ribosomal RNA is filed under the name uncultured bacterium. RNAcentral's name for it is "partial 16S ribosomal RNA". It matches the Rfam family "Bacterial small subunit ribosomal RNA", at positions 28 to 507 of the family's 1533-position model. The record is from RNAcentral.
GACGAACGCUGGCGGCGUGCCUAAUACAUGCAAGUUGAGCGAUGAAGAUUGGUGCUUGCACCAAUUUGAAGAGCAGCGAACGGGUGAGUAACGCGUGGGGAAUCUGCCUUUGAGCGGGGGCAACAUUUGGAAACGAAUGCUAAUACCGCAUAACAACUUUAAACAUAAGUUUUAAGUUUGAAAGAUGCAAUUGCAUCACUCAAAGAUGAUCCCGCGUUGUAUUAGCUAGUUGGUGAGGUAAAGGCUCACCAAGGCGAUGAUACAUAGCCGACCUGAGAGGGUGAUCGGCCACAUUGGGACUGAGACACGGCCCAAACUCCUACGGGAGGCAGCAGUAGGGAAUCUUCGGCAAUGGACGAAAGUCUGACCGAGCAACGCCGCGUGAGUGAAGAAGGUUUUCGGAUCGUAAAACUCUGUUGGUAGAGAAGAACGUUGGUGAGAGUGGAAAGCUCAUCAAGUGACGGUAACUACCCAGAAAGGGACGGCUAACUACGUG